This 916-nucleotide ribosomal RNA is filed under the name uncultured archaeon. Its description in RNAcentral is "bacterial SSU rRNA". It matches the Rfam family "Archaeal small subunit ribosomal RNA", at positions 1 to 922 of the family's 1478-position model. The record is from RNAcentral.
UUCCGGGUUGAUCCUGCCGGAGGUCACUGCUAUUGGGAUUCGACUAAGCCAUGCGAGUUGAGAGAGUUCGGCCCUCGGCUAACGGCUCAGUAACACGUGGAUAAUCUGCCCUUAGGUGGAGGAUACCCUCGGGAAACUGAGAAUAAUACUCCAUAGGUCUAGGAUGCUGGAAUGCACUUAGACUGAAAACUCCGGUGCCUAAGGAUGAGUCUGCGGACUAUCAGGUAGUAGUCAGGGUAAAGACCUGACUAGCCUACGACGGAUACGGGUUGUGAGAGCAAUAACCCGGAGAUGAUAUCUGAGACACGAUAUCAGGCCCUACGGGGCGCAGCAGGCGCGAAAACUUCACAAUGCGCGAAAGCGCGAUGAGGGAAUCCCAAGUGCUUGCACGUAAGUGUAAGCUGUUUCUAUGUUUAAAACGCAUAGAGAGUAAGGGCUGGGUAAGACGGGUGCCAGCCGCCGCGGUAAUACCUGCAGCUCGAGUGGUGGCCGCUAUUAUUGGGCCUAAAACGUCCGUAGCCGGUUUAAUAAAUGCCUGGGUAAAUCGUAUAGCUUAACUAUACGAAUUCCGGGUAGACUGCUAAACUUGAGACCGGGGGAAGUUAGAGGUACUCCUGGGGUAGAGGUGAAAUUCUGUAAUCCUAGGGGGACCACCGGUGGCGAAGGCGUCUGACUAAAACGGGUCUGACGGUGAGGGACGAAGCCCUGGGGCGCAAACGGGAUUAGAUACCCCGGUAGUCCAGGGUGUAAACGCUGCUUGCUUGAAGUUAGUCGGGCUUCGAGCCCGAUUAGUGUCGGAGAGAAGUUGUUAAGCAAGCUGCCUGGGAAGUACGGCCGCAAGACUGAAACUUAAAGGAAUUGGCGGGGGAGCACAGCAACGGGUGGAGCGUGCGGUUUAAUUGGAUUCAACGCCGGG